AAUUCGAAGCAACGCGAAGAACCUUACCAGGACUUGACAUCCCUCUGACCGGCGCUUAACCGUGCCUUCCCUUCGGGGCAGAGGUGACAGGUGGUGCAGUGGUUGUCGUCAGCUCGUGUCGUGAGAUGUUGGGUUAAGUCCCGCAACGAGCGCAACCCUUGUCAUUAGUUGCCAGCAGUUCGGCUGGGCACUCUAGUGAGACUGCCGGGGAUAACUCGGAGGAAGGUGGGGAUGACGUCAAAUCAUCAUGCCCCUUAUGUUCUGGGCUACACACGUGCUACAAUGGCUGGUACAAAGAGACGCAAGACUGUGACGUGGAGCAAAUCUCAAAAACCAGUCCCAGUUCGGAUUGUAGGCUGCAACUCGCCUACAUGAAGUUGGAGUUGCUAGUAAUCGCGAAUCAGAAUGUCGCGGUGAAUGCGUUCCCGGGCCUU
Molecule: ribosomal RNA, 434 nt
Filed under: uncultured Eubacteriales bacterium
Lineage: Bacteria; Bacillati; Bacillota; Clostridia; Eubacteriales
Description: bacterial SSU rRNA
Rfam family: Bacterial small subunit ribosomal RNA
Source: RNAcentral